This 408-nucleotide ribosomal RNA is filed under the name uncultured bacterium. Its description in RNAcentral is "partial 16S ribosomal RNA". It matches the Rfam family "Bacterial small subunit ribosomal RNA", at positions 28 to 526 of the family's 1533-position model. The record is from RNAcentral.
GUCGAACGCUGGCGGCGGGCUUAACACAUGCAAGUCGAACGAAGCGGCGAACGGGUGAGUAACGCGUAAGAAACCUGCCCUUCAGAGGGGGACAACAGUUGGAAACGACUGUUAAUACCGCAUACGGAAGGAGGGGAAUGCGUCUUAUUAGCUAGUUGGAGGGGUAACGGCCAACCAUGGUGAUGGUCCGUAGCCGGUCUUGAAGGAUUGACGGCCCACUUGGGACUGGUACACGGCCCCGACUCCUACGGGAGGCAGCAGUGGGGAAUCUUCCGCAAUGGACGACAGGCUGACGGAGCAACGCCGCGUGAGUGAUGACGGCCUUCUGGUUGUAAAGCUCUGUUAAUCGGGACGCGGUACCCGAAUAGAAAGCCACGGCUAACUACGUGCCAGCAGCCGCGGUAAUAC